AACGAUCCAAAAACGGGGGUGACGAUCCCCGGACAGGGGGUAACGAUUGUUUCGGGCCCGCACGGCCUGGCACGCCCAGGACGCAAGCCAAGUGGUGCUGGGGUCACCUCUUAGCUACUUGUCAUGCAUACGCACAUUGCGGACUGGGCGGAGUGCCUUUCGUCACCGACAAGUGAACAUGCCGACAUUCUAGUCUGCAAACGCUUAUUGUAGUGACAGUUUGUGUUAAAACAGUCUAAUAUGUGAAGCCCUAAACUUAUGUAGUCUUUGCGCUCGCGAACGAGGAAGUCUGGGGGCUGUAGGCCGACUGUGUGACAUUGUGACAGGGACCCUUGGGCGUGGUAACGACCCUAAGCCAGGGGUAAUGGGGCCUUCGCGAGGGGUAACAGGGUUCCUGCAUGGGGUUCUCGCGGGCCUGACUUAACAAGCAGCAUAGAGCGGCCCCUGAUACUACUACACAUAUACUGAUAUAGUACCAUACAUAUACUGAUACACUGCACUUCAUGCCGGUGCCGCUGCACUUCUGUUCCUCUCCCCCACUUUGCUCUCUCGCGCUUGCUAUUUCUCUUCGUAACACAAAUUUAUGCUAGCUCAAAUGUCAGUAGAACAAGAGCUGGCGGCAGACGCUGCUUGGCUGGCUUGGGACGUGAGUCCUCACGCUGCUGACUGCUCGUUGACCGGCUUGGCAACGCUGCUCACACGUCAGCUGCAGCCAGCUAUUACGUGAGAGAAACGACUAUGCCUCAUAAUCUAUCAGCUGCGCUUCAAAUGUCCAACCGAGAAGUCUCGGUCGCCGGCGUCAACAACGCCAUUCAACAUCGCGUUCUGUCAACAUCACCCUCGCCCCGCACGCCAUAGUCCGUAGGUUAGUCCGCAGGUUAGUCCGCAGGUUGAAUGACGAUGGGAUGCGUUGAACCUAGUGGUACCUCGCAAGCCAGUGUGCAUGGUUCAUCUUCUCGCGCUGUGUUGGGUUGUCUGGUGGAGCCCCCGCCUACAACUAGCGACUGUCUGCUGCCUCCCUUACCAGCGCUCGCUGUAAGGUGUUUUUAUGGCUCCCUUGCCACGGUGCCUUGUGUCUCACAUACCACCCUGCCCCCCUCCGCACGCACACACCCUGCCCCGCGACAGCUUGCUGCCCAACCCCUGUUGUACCCUAUGGACCGUACGGUUGGCUGGACUGCCCCUACACCUCCAGCAUUGUGCUCAUCAACGGUGAGUGUCCGUGACAUGUGUGGGCGCACACACAUGCACAUGUGCACACAGACACGCCUUGUGUGGAAGGCCCCGUGCACUGCCAAGCACUCUGUCCAUGGCUGGCCUUGACAUGCAUUGGCACCUACCCGUCUUGUGGCAGACGAUUAACUGGGUGUGUCUAUGUGUGUGCACGCGUGCAUGCAGGCGCUGCCGGUGGAAGCAAAACUACAGGAGCCAGCGUGAAACCAGCUGUCUGGCGCUAGAGAUGGAGGCGGGCGCGGCGGCGCCAGUGGCAUAGUUUGGCAUGGUAGCUGUGGUGGUGGCGGGCAUCAAGGUGGUGGGUCAGAGACGUUGUGCCCAGCAGACAUGCAAGUGGUUGCUGCCAGUGGCUAGUUGCACGUUCACACGCAGACAUGACUAGGCGUAUUGUUGCAUGUACGUAUGGACUUGCGGUAGUGUUGCAUAAGUGUUGCAUGAGCAUCUGCACUUGUCGUGCUAUCAAGCCUUGACAGAUGGCUAGCAUGUGGAUUAGCGGUAGGACUACAUAGUUUUCACGUUAGUACUGAGGUAGGCCUUCAGCAAAGCACAAGGCUGCCAUGUAACGGGCGUCAAAGUGAUGGUUACUGGUGUGCCUUGUAGACCGUGACAAGGCUGUUACCAUGGCUGGUUAAGAUGGUAAGCAGAUCGUAGCGAACACAGGCAAAGAUGUGGUUGGUGAUGCCCUGGCCUGCGGGGGCCUGGGGCUCCCCCUUGGGGCCCACCGAUUUGGCGCACUGCUCUGAGACCACAUAAGCACACGCCAGGUUAGAGGGGUCCGAGGUGGUGGGAUAGCCGCCCGCCUGCAGCACCAAAUCGGUGCGACCGCGGAAAGCCCCCCACACAGGGCCCCCUACCAUCUUGACCGUGACGGUGUAGGUGCCCGGAAUGAUGGGCCGGGUGUCCACCGGCACGUGAACCGUGAGGACAGCCUGACCGCGCUGGAGCGGCACCGCCAGCGGCGACUUGCGCAUGAGCUCCGCUGUGAAGGCUGCUUUGCUGGCGCUGGUUGCGCGCUGGCUGAAGGCCAG
Molecule: long non-coding RNA, 2261 nt
Filed under: Chlamydomonas reinhardtii
Lineage: Eukaryota; Viridiplantae; Chlorophyta; Chlorophyceae; Chlamydomonadales; Chlamydomonadaceae
Description: long non-coding RNA (CREI_LNC000526)
Source: RNAcentral